AGAGUAAAAUAGUACGUGAAAUUGUUGAAAGGGAAACGAUUGAAGUCAGUCGUACCGACGAGAAAUCAGCUCUUCGAGUGCGAAGUUGUGGGCGUGUGAGAGUCUUUAACCGGGCCUCGCUGUUUGCAAUUUUGUGCUUUUUGGGUGUACUUUUUCGUAUGGUAGGCCAACGUCAGUUUUGAUUACCGUAAAAUGAUCGGAGGAAUGUAGCUUCGAUCUCGUAUUGAAGUGUUAUAGCCUCUGGUAGAUGCGGUGACCGAAACUGAGGAUUGCAACGAAUACCCUUUUGGGCUAUCCGUCUGGCCUCUGAAAGUUGCUUAGGUGCCGAAAGCGUGCUUACGGCUAUUUAAGUUGACGGUCAACAGGUUAGAACGUGAUUACAUUCGUUAAGGAUGUUGACGUAAUGACUUUAAACGACC
RNAcentral lists this small RNA (419 nucleotides) under uncultured Glomeromycotina. RNAcentral describes it as "eukaryotic LSU rRNA". The record is from RNAcentral. Lineage: Eukaryota; Fungi; Glomeromycota.